This 440-nucleotide ribosomal RNA is filed under the name uncultured bacterium. RNAcentral describes it as "partial 16S ribosomal RNA". It matches the Rfam family "Bacterial small subunit ribosomal RNA", at positions 338 to 795 of the family's 1533-position model. The record is from RNAcentral.
CCUACGGGUGGCAGCAGUAGGGAAUAUUGCGCAAUGGGCGCAAGCCUGACGCAGCAACGCCGCGUGAAGGAUGAAGGUUUUCGGAUUGUAAACUCCUUUUGUUAGAGAAGAAAAUGACGUCAUCUAACGAAUAAGAACCUGCUAACAACGAGCCAGCAGCCGCGGUAAUACGAAGGGUGCAAGCGUUAUUCGGAAUUACUGGGCGUAAAGAGGGCGGAGGCGGGAUGGCAAGUCAGAUGUGAAAGCCCAUGGAUUAACCAUAGAACUGCAUUUGAAACUGUUAUUCUAGAGUAUGGGAGAGGAAGGUGGAAUUCUAGGUGUAGCGGUAAAAUGCGUAGAGAUAAGGAGGAACACUCAUUGCGAAGGCGACCUGCUGGAACAUAACUGACGCUGAUGCGCGAAAGCGUGGGGAGCAAACAGGAUUAGAUACCCCAGUAGUC